GCGGAGGAAAAGAAACCAACAGGGAUUGCCUUAGUAACGGCGAGUGAACCGGCAAAAGCUCAAAUUUGAAAUCUUGCAUUUUUGCAUGAGUUGUAAUUUGAAGAGGAUGUCUUUUGUCUUGCUUGGGGUUUAAGUCUCCUGGAAUGGAGCAUCAUGGAGGGUGACAAUCCCGUUUCUGGCUUCAAGUUUUAAGACUUUAUAAGACUCCUUCAAUGAGUCGAGUUGUUUGGGAAUGCAGCUCUAAAUGGGAGGUAAAUUUCUUCUAAAGCUAAAUACAAGCUAGAGACCGAUAGCGAACAAGUAGAGUGAUCGAAAGAUGAAAAGUACUUUGGAAAGAGAGUUAAACAGUAUGUGAAAUUGUUGGAAGGGAAGCAUUUGCAAUCAGAUCUGUGUUGUUGGAAUUCACCUACACAAUUAUUGUGCUUAGAGCAUUUUCCUUCAAUACUUGUCAACAUCAAUUUGAGUAGUGAUAAAAUCUUAGUCAAAAUGUAGCUCACUGAGUGUUAUAGUUGAUUUUGCUUAUCACUAACUUAGAUUGAGGAACGCGAUAGCAUGGAUGUUGACUUAAUGGUUGUAAGUGGCCCG
Molecule: ribosomal RNA, 585 nt
Filed under: Gloeandromyces nycteribiidarum
Lineage: Eukaryota; Fungi; Ascomycota; Laboulbeniomycetes; Laboulbeniales; Laboulbeniaceae
Description: partial large subunit ribosomal RNA
Rfam family: Eukaryotic large subunit ribosomal RNA
Source: RNAcentral